This 253-nucleotide ribosomal RNA is filed under the name uncultured bacterium. RNAcentral's name for it is "partial 16S ribosomal RNA". It matches the Rfam family "Bacterial small subunit ribosomal RNA", at positions 524 to 776 of the family's 1533-position model. The record is from RNAcentral.
UACGUAGGCAGCGAGCGUUGUUCGGAAUUACUGGGCGUAAAGAGUGUGUAGGCGGUGCUCUAAGUUCGGUGUGAAAUCUCCUGGCUUAACUGGGAGGGUGCGCCGAAAACUGGAGUGCUCGAGCGUGGGAGAGGAAAGCGGAAUUCCUGGUGUAGCGGUGAAAUGCGUGGAUAUCGAGAAGAACACUUAGGGCGUAGGCAAGACUCUGGACAAAUGCUGACGCUCAUGCACGAAGGCUAGGGUAGCGAACGGG